UGGGGAAUAUUGGACAAUGGGCGCAAGCCUGGUCCAGCCAUGCCGCGUGUGUGAAGAAGGCCUUUUGGUUGUAAAGCACUUUAAGCGAGGAGGAGGCUACUUGGAUUAAUACUCUAAGAUAGUGGACGUUACUCGCAGAAUAAGCACCGGCUAACUCUGUGCCAGCAGCCGCGGUAAUACAGAGGGUGCGAGCGUUAAUCGGAUUUACUGGGCGUAAAGCGUGCGUAGGCGGCUUCUUAAGUCGGAUGUGAAAUCCCUGAGCUUAACUUAGGAAUUGCAUUCGAUACUGGGAAGCUAGAGUAUGGGAGAGGAUGGUAGAAUUCCAGGUGUAGCGGUGAAAUGCGUAGAGAUCUGGAGGAAUACCGAUGGCGAAGGCAGCCAUCUGGCCUAAUACUGACGCUGAGGUACGAAAGCAUGGGGAGCAAACAGG
RNAcentral lists this ribosomal RNA (430 nucleotides) under Bacillota bacterium. Its description in RNAcentral is "Firmicutes bacterium partial 16S ribosomal RNA". It matches the Rfam family "Bacterial small subunit ribosomal RNA", at positions 355 to 776 of the family's 1533-position model. Lineage: Bacteria; Bacillati; Bacillota. The record is from RNAcentral.